GUCGCUUGGGUUUUCUCAAGAGGAAAGUCCGGACACCGUAGGGCAGUAGUGCUAGAUAACGUCUAGUGGGAGUGAUCCUAAGGAAAGUGCAACAGAAAAUAACCGCUUAUAAUUUAUUAUAAGUAAGGGUGAAAACGUAAGGUAAGAGCUUACGAACAACUAUGGAGACAUAGCUGUGGUGUAAACCCCACUUGGUGCAACGCCAGAAGAGAAAGGUUAAGACGGCCCGUCGUCUUUCGUGGUUGGCGGCUUGAAGUAUAUAGCAAUAUAUACUCUAGAUAAAUGACUAUAUUUAAAACAGAAUCCGGCUUACGA
RNAcentral lists this RNase P RNA (315 nucleotides) under pig gut metagenome. RNAcentral describes it as "Bacterial RNase P class A". It matches the Rfam family "Bacterial RNase P class A". Rfam says of the family: Ribonuclease P (RNase P) is a ubiquitous endoribonuclease, found in archaea, bacteria and eukarya as well as chloroplasts and mitochondria. Its best characterised activity is the generation of mature 5'-ends of tRNAs by cleaving the 5'-leader elements of precursor-tRNAs. The record is from RNAcentral.